RNAcentral lists this ribosomal RNA (862 nucleotides) under uncultured bacterium. Its description in RNAcentral is "bacterial SSU rRNA". It matches the Rfam family "Bacterial small subunit ribosomal RNA", at positions 8 to 860 of the family's 1533-position model. The record is from RNAcentral.
AGAGUUUGAUCCUGGCUCAGGAUGAACGCUAGCUACAGGCUUAACACAUGCAAGUCGAGGGGAAACGACAUCGAAAGCUUGCUUUUGAUGGGCGUCGACCGGCGCACGGGUGAGUAACGCGUAUCCAACCUGCCCACCACUUGGGGAUAACCUUGCGAAAGUAAGACUAAUACCCAAUGACGUCUCUAGAAGGCAUCUGAAAGAGAUUAAAGAUUUAUCGGUGAUGGAUGGGGAUGCGUCUGAUUAGCUUGUUGGCGGGGUAACGGCCCACCAAGGCUACGAUCAGUAGGGGUUCUGAGAGGAAGGUCCCCCACAUUGGAACUGAGACACGGUCCAAACUCCUACGGGAGGCAGCAGUGAGGAAUAUUGGUCAAUGGACGAGAGUCUGAACCAGCCAAGUAGCGUGCAGGAUGACGGCCCUAUGGGUUGUAAACUGCUUUUAUAAGGGAAUAAAGUGAGUCUCGUGAGACUUUUUGCAUGUACCUUAUGAAUAAGGACCGGCUAAUUCCGUGCCAGCAGCCGCGGUAAUACGGAAGGUCCGGGCGUUAUCCGGAUUUAUUGGGUUUAAAGGGAGCGUAGGCCGGAGAUUAAGCGUGUUGUGAAAUGUAGAUGCUCAACAUCUGCACUGCAGCGCGAACUGGUUUCCUUGAGUACGCACAAAGUGGGCGGAAUUCGUGGUGUAGCGGUGAAAUGCUUAGAUAUCACGAAGAACUCCGAUUGCGAAGGCAGCUCACUGGAGCGCAACUGACGCUGAAGCUCGAAAGUGCGGGUAUCGAACAGGAUUAGAUACCCUGGUAGUCCGCACGGUAAACGAUGGAUGCCCGCUGUUGGUCUGAAUAGGUCAGCGGCCAAGCGAAAGCAU